Molecule: transfer RNA, 59 nt
Filed under: Crypturopus tuberculatus
Lineage: Eukaryota; Metazoa; Arthropoda; Malacostraca; Amphipoda; Micruropodidae
Description: tRNA-Leu
Source: RNAcentral
GUCAUUUAGGCGGUCCGCGUAAGGUUUAGGACCUUAAGGAGGUUUAGUACCAAAUGAUA